UACAGGGGGGGCAAGCGUUAUUCGGAAUUAUUGGGCGUAAAGGGCGCGUAGGCGGCCUGGCAAGUGGAAGGUGAAAUCCCUCGGCUUAACCGAGGAACUGCCCUCCAAACUGCUUGGCUUGAGUCCGGGAGAGGUGAGUGGAAUUCCCAGUGUAGCGGUGAAAUGCGUAGAUAUUGGGACGAACACCAGUGGCGAAGGCGGCUCACUGGACCGGAACUGACGCUGAGGCGCGAAAGCGUGGGGAGCAAACGGG
Molecule: ribosomal RNA, 253 nt
Filed under: uncultured bacterium
Lineage: Bacteria
Description: partial 16S ribosomal RNA
Rfam family: Bacterial small subunit ribosomal RNA
Source: RNAcentral